CCUACGGGAGGCAGCAGUGAGGAAUAUUGGUCAAUGGACGAGAGUCUGAACCAGCCAAGUAGCGUGAAGGAUGACUGCCCUAUGGGUUGUAAACUUCUUUUAUAUGGGAAUAAAAUGUUCCACGUGUGGGAGUUUGUAUGUACCAUAUGAAUAAGGAUCGGCUAACUCCGUGCCAGCAGCCUCGGUAAUACGGAGGAUCCGAGCGUUAUCCGGAUUUAUUGGGUUUAAAGGGAGCGUAGGUGGAUUGUUAAGUCAGUUGUGAAAGUUUGCGGAUCAACCGUAAAAUUGCAGUUGAAACUGGCAGUCUUGAGUACAGUAGAGGUGGGCGGAAUUCGUGGUGUAGCGGUGAAAUGCUUAGAUAUCACGAAGAACUCCGAUUGCGAAGGCAGCUCACUGGACUGCAACUGACACUGAGGCUCGAAAGUGUGGGUAUCAAACAGGAUUAGAUACCCUAGUAGUC
This 460-nucleotide ribosomal RNA is filed under the name uncultured bacterium. Its description in RNAcentral is "partial 16S ribosomal RNA". It matches the Rfam family "Bacterial small subunit ribosomal RNA", at positions 338 to 795 of the family's 1533-position model. The record is from RNAcentral.